AGUGUAGCGGUGGAAUGCGUAGAUAUUAGGUAGAACACCCGAGGGCGAAGGCGUCUGUCUGGCUCAUUACUGACACUGAAAUGCGAAAGCAUGGGUAGCGAACAGGAUUAGAUACCCUGGUAGUCCAUGCCGUAAACGAUGGGUACUAGGUGUCGGGGGACUAGCCCCCUCGGUGCCGUAGCAAACGCGUUAAGUACCCCGCCUGGGGAGUACGAUCGCAAGGUUGAAACUCAAAGGAAUUGACGGGGGCCCGCACAAGCGGUGGAGCAUGUGGUUUAAUUCGAUGCAACGCGAAGAACCUUACCUGGGCUUGAACCGCAUUUUGAUCAUCUAUAGAGAUAUAGAUUUCUGAGCAAUCAGCAAUUUGCAGAGGUGCUGCAUGGCUGUCGUCAGCUCGUGUCGUGAGAUGUUGGGUUAAGUCCCGCAACGAGCGCAACCCUUAUCAUUAGUUGCCAGCGCGUUAUGGCGGGGACUCUAAUGAGACUGCCCGGGUUAACCGGGAGGAAGGUGGGGAUGACGUCAAGUCCUCAUGGCCCUUAUGUCCAGGGCUACACACGUGCUACAAUGGGCGGUACAGAGCGCAGCUACACAGUGAUGUGAUGCGAAUCGCAAAAACCGUUCUCAGUUCGGAUCUCAGUCUGCAACUCGACUGAGUGAAGUUGGAAUCGCUAGUAAUCGCGGAACAGCAUGCCGCGGUGAAUACGUUCCCGGGCCUUGUACACACCGCCCGUCACACCAUGGAAGUUGAUAGUGCUCGAAGUAACUGGUCUAACCAGCAAUGGAGGAAAGUUACUAAGGCAAGAUUGAUAACUGGGGUGAAGUCGUAACAAGGUAACC
This 837-nucleotide ribosomal RNA is filed under the name uncultured Fibrobacterota bacterium. RNAcentral describes it as "bacterial SSU rRNA". It matches the Rfam family "Bacterial small subunit ribosomal RNA", at positions 672 to 1501 of the family's 1533-position model. Lineage: Bacteria; Pseudomonadati; Fibrobacterota. The record is from RNAcentral.